UUACUCUGUUACACCUGACGUCACUCACGUCAUUCACGUGAGCGCACCUUGGCUCACCACCUUAAUGUUUGUGUUAAUUGUUGCAAGUCUGCGAUUCACAAUCCGAAUUAUAUCAGUAUAAUGGGAAGUGUUAUUUACAGAAGAAGUGCUGCGUGUUGGAUAACAACAUUUCAACAACAACAACAACAACAACUGGCGGACAUGCACUGCAGGGAAUCCUUGUGCGGAGCUUGAGUCCAGGCCUGGGCUGAUCGCUGGCAGGGCCAUCCCUCAUCCUGAUACCGCAUGGAGAAUCUCCAUGAAGGGCCCGGCUGACAUUUUUAUUAUUAUGGAUGUGCCCACGCAGCUGAGAUGAGAGGAGGGGAGAAGGCCACCCGAGAGUUUUC
Long non-coding RNA from Larimichthys crocea (large yellow croaker), 386 nucleotides. RefSeq lists it as uncharacterized. The transcript has 3 exons. Lineage: Eukaryota; Metazoa; Chordata; Actinopteri; Sciaenidae. The record is from RefSeq and is a predicted model, not a curated record.